AUGUGGGGUCAGGUCAACAACCACGUCAGCAAGUCAACGCUGACAUGUGGGGUCGGUCAACAGGUGACGUGGCCAGGUCAGACUGACCUGUGCGCCCUAUGGGGUUAG
Molecule: ribosomal RNA, 108 nt
Filed under: Triticum aestivum (bread wheat)
Lineage: Eukaryota; Viridiplantae; Streptophyta; Magnoliopsida; Poales; Poaceae
Description: partial small subunit ribosomal RNA
Source: RNAcentral